RNAcentral lists this long non-coding RNA (2663 nucleotides) under Sus scrofa (pig). Its description in RNAcentral is "lncRNA (ENSSSCG00065033117.1)". The record is from RNAcentral. Lineage: Eukaryota; Metazoa; Chordata; Mammalia; Artiodactyla; Suidae.
UUUUUUUUUUUUUUUGGCCACACCCACGGCGUGGGACGUUUCCAGGCCAGGGACCAAAUGCGACCCACAGCUGUGACGAUGCUGAGUCCUUAACCACUAGGCCACCAGGAACUCCUAUGAUUGGUUGCUUUAAAACAAGGUGCUACCAGUUUCUUUUACUCCUGAAAUUCAGCAAGGCUGAUAACUUAGAAAUUCCAUGAGAUAAAAUACAAAAGAUUCUGUAUGCAUAUUAAAUAAUUUCUAACUCCAAUUAAAAUAUGUUCUUGGAUAUGCUUAAGUCAACCUUAGCUUUUUUUUUUUUUUUUUUUUUUUUAAAAUUUUGUAGCAAAGCAAGAUAACAUGGGAGACUAACCCAUUUAGACCAUCAGAAGUUCACUUUCAUUUUUAAAAUUUUUUGGGUGUCCCUUGUGGCAUGUAGAAAGUUCCUGGGCCAGGGACUGAACCCGAGCUAGUUUCGACCUGCACCACAGCCUCGGCAAAGCCAGAUCCUUAACCUGCUGCACCGCAAAGGAACUUCCAGAAAUCCACUUUCAGAUUUUACCAACUGAGCUCUUCCACUGGAUGCUGUUGGCCUAUCAGCUGGGCAGGUGUGAAAGAAACAAUGCAUGCCUUUCUCCAAUCACAAAGGUUCGUCCCUGACUCUCUUCUUGCUUCUCAAAAGCAAGAAAAAAAGCACCAAAAAAGCCUCCAGUCAUUCACUCAUAUGCUCACUCCAGAGGGUCAGCAGAAAGCACGAUGGAACUGGUGUUUGUUCAAGGUCAAGUGAAAGGUUUUGGAAACUCCUCCCAGAGGUGGGGCAACGCAAAGUUCUGCACUGAACCUCCCUGGGUCAACCUCUGCCUGAAGUCCUGCCGGCCUCCAGCACAGCGGCAGCUAGCCCUAACUCAUCCACUCUCUCUACCCAGCUACGGGCCAGAGUCCUGCAGGCUGCAGGGAAGCUCCCUCAUUCAGUCUGAUCUAGCAAACCAAAAAAAAAAGGAUUUCUACAAAAAUGUGCAAAUGUUAUAACUGAGUUUUGAAUAUUCUGCAUCAGCUACAGUUGUCUCAAGAUAGUCUUCCAUCUCAUUCACUUGUUAGAAACACUUCAUUUUCCAAAGAAAAAACAUACAUCAUGAAAAGCAUGUCCUGUUACUAACAGAGUGAGCUCUACAACACACAUGCCAACCGACCAAGAACAGAAUAAAAGAAUGUCUGCAAAACAGGACUCAUCUUUUCUGAUCCCAAACUUUCCCAUUGCUACCUCUGACUUCGUGCCAAUGUUCUUCUCCUUAAGAUCAAGAAACAACCAAGAGCAACACGCACCCAGAUGGCAUGAGAGUCACCUGGCCUGGCAAGAAAUUGUGGUCAGGCUUCGGGAUUAAAAUCAAGGACCUGGGAAGGAAUGACAGCUUUUGUCUGCUAGUAAGCAGGGCAGAGAGGGAAGGGCAUUGGUUUUCCUCUCAAGGAUGACAGUGACAGGACAAACCACAGCACCACGGCAGGCACUGAAGUGCAUUCCUCAAGAAACAAAGACCUGCUUCACUCCAUCCAGCUCUGGGGUGUUUACUUCAAGAGCCCCUAGGCCAGAAAAAAGUCAAAAGGCCUUUGUCACUGAUACAUCCUAAGUGGAGCACCGGGCUCAUGUCUCACUGAUGCCACCACGUUAUCCUUAUCAGGGUGUGGGGACAGCAGGGCGUGCGUGCUUCCUGCUGAGAUGGCUGUAGACACCAGCAGGGGACCCUGGAGCAGCAGCUAACACAGCACUAACACUGCCGCCGGCACGACUGAUCUCCAAACUGUCAUUUCAUCGACUUUUCCCUAUUGUUCACACCUGAGAUGCAUGUUUUUCAGUGAACAGGGUCUAAGAUUUUGAAACAAUUAAAAGCUGCACCUAAGAUCAGAGAGCAAAACUCAGACCCUUUUCUCCUUUGCUUGGACUGGAAAGAAAGGAAAGCAGUGGCUGCAGAGCGCACAGUGGGUGACGAAACGCAGAGCUGGGUGUCAGGCGCAGGAGCAACCUCAGAGACACAGCCCGAGAGGAUGCGGACCAGCCCGGCAGUCUGAUAGCCGGUCCCACCGGGGACCAGCCCACUGCCCACAAAGGGAGGCAUGAGCCGGCAAAGCUCAUCUAGGAACGGGGUGGGGCAAAAUGGAUUCAGAAUCUCUGAACAGUGUUUAUUACUUUCAAACAUGUGAGGAUCAAAUACCAUCCCCUAAAAUUCAACUUUAGCAACUGAAACCUGUGACAAUGAGAUAGCUAUGAUGAGGAAAACAAAUUCUAAACUCCUAGCUCAGACCUGAAACCCCUGGCCCUAGGUAAUGAAUAGGUAGAAAAAGACAGUGAGGCCAGAUUUUACUAUGUGCUUCCGAAUAUCUAAACCCUCCCAAUACUUUUCUCACGGGGAAGUGAUUCUCCCCAAAAACUUCAGGGAUAAAGUCAGUGCCUUCCACCAACACUGUGGGGUCCAGAACUUAGGUCUAUAUAAAUUCAUCAGCCCUGCUUUCAGGUGCCUGACCCCUGGUACCAGGGGCACUGGGUGGCCUGGCAGCAUUGGCAGUCAGAGGGGCUCGCGAUGGCAGCACUCAGUCUACCACCAAGGAUAGAUACACCUGACUUACGUGUGUCCAGGGAAACCCCGAAACAUUUUAAACACCUAAUGUUGACCCCUGUCCUGGGAACCUCC